This 383-nucleotide ribosomal RNA is filed under the name uncultured eukaryote. RNAcentral's name for it is "partial 18S ribosomal RNA". It matches the Rfam family "Eukaryotic small subunit ribosomal RNA", at positions 592 to 976 of the family's 1831-position model. The record is from RNAcentral.
CAAUAGCGUAUAUUAAAGUUGUUGCAGUUAAAAAGCUCGUAGUUGGAUUUCUGGUGGGAGCGAUCGGUCUGGCGCUUAGCGCGAGUACUUGCAUCGUCUCCGGCCAUCCUUGGGGAGAGUCUGUCUGGCAUUAAGUUGUCGGGCAGAGGAUCCUCAUCGUUUACUGUGAAAAAAUUAGAGUGUUCAAAGCAGGCUUAUGCCGUUGAAUAUAUUAGCAUGGAAUAAUAAGAUAGGACUUUGGUACUAUUUUGUUGGUUUGCGCACCAAAGUAAUGAUUAAUAGGGACAGUUGGGGGUAUUCGUAUUCCGUUGUCAGAGGUGAAAUUCUUGGAUUUACGGAAGACGAACUACUGCGAAAGCAUCUGCCAUGGAUGUUUUCAUUGA